Molecule: transfer RNA, 106 nt
Filed under: Ceratocystis platani
Lineage: Eukaryota; Fungi; Ascomycota; Sordariomycetes; Microascales; Ceratocystidaceae
Also listed under: 1 other name
Rfam family: tRNA
About the family: Transfer RNA (tRNA) molecules are approximately 80 nucleotides in length. Their secondary structure includes four short double-helical elements and three loops (D, anti-codon, and T loops).
Source: Rfam by way of RNAcentral
GGCAAGAUGGCCGAGCGGUCUAAGGCGCUGUGUUCAGGUUCUUCCAUCCAGUUGAAAAACCUUCGCAGUGGAGCAAUCCGCGCGAGUUCGAAUCUCGUUCUUGUCA